GAUGAAGAACGUAGCGAAAUGCGAUACUUGGUGUGAAUUGCAGAAUUCCGUGAACCAUCGAGUCUUUGAACGCAAGUUGCGCCCGAAGCCAUUAGGCCGAGGGCACGCCUGCCUGGGCGUCACACGUCGUUGCCCCCCCAUCUACUCCUUCGGGAUUGCGGGGGGCGGAUGAUGGCCUCCCGUGCGCCUCGCCGCGCGGUUGGCAUAAAUGCCAAGUCCUCGGCGACGCACGCCACGACAAUCGGUGGUUGCGAAACCUCGGUUGCCCGUCGUGUGCGGUCGUCGCGCAUCGAGGGCUCGAAAAAAUUGCCGGGUUCCGGCUCGGCUUUCAACGCGACCCCAGGUCAGGCGGGGUUACCCGCUGAAUUUAAGCAUAUCAAUAAGCGGAGGA
Molecule: unclassified non-coding RNA, 391 nt
Filed under: soil metagenome
Description: partial contains 5.8S ribosomal RNA, internal transcribed spacer 2, and large subunit ribosomal RNA
Rfam family: 5.8S ribosomal RNA (bases 1-122)
Source: RNAcentral